This 76-nucleotide transfer RNA is filed under the name Vibrio chagasii. RNAcentral describes it as "tRNA-Arg". It matches the Rfam family "tRNA". Rfam says of the family: Transfer RNA (tRNA) molecules are approximately 80 nucleotides in length. Their secondary structure includes four short double-helical elements and three loops (D, anti-codon, and T loops). Further hydrogen bonds mediate the characteristic L-shaped molecular structure. tRNAs have two regions of fundamental functional importance: the anti-codon, which is responsible for specific mRNA codon recognition, and the 3' end, to which the tRNAs corresponding amino acid is attached (by aminoacyl-tRNA synthetases). tRNAs cope with the degeneracy of the genetic code in two manners: having more than one tRNA (with a specific anti-codon) for a particular amino acid; and 'wobble' base-pairing, i.e. permitting non-standard base-pairing at the 3rd anti-codon position. The record is from RNAcentral. Lineage: Bacteria; Pseudomonadati; Pseudomonadota; Gammaproteobacteria; Vibrionales; Vibrionaceae.
AGUGGAUUAGCUCAGAUGGAAGAGCACCUGUCUACGAAACAGGGGGUCAGGAGUUCGAAUCUCUUAUUCACUGCCA